RNAcentral lists this ribosomal RNA (710 nucleotides) under uncultured bacterium. Its description in RNAcentral is "bacterial SSU rRNA". It matches the Rfam family "Bacterial small subunit ribosomal RNA", at positions 57 to 762 of the family's 1533-position model. The record is from RNAcentral.
GCAAGUCGAGCGGUAGAGAGGUGCUUGCACCUCUUGAGAGCGGCGGACGGGUGAGUAAAGCCUAGGAAUCUGCCUGGUAGUGGGGGAUAACGCUCGGAAACGGACGCUAAUACCGCAUACGUCCUACGGGAGAAAGCAGGGGACCUUCGGGCCUUGCGCUAUCAGAUGAGCCUAGGUCGGAUUAGCUAGUUGGUGAGGUAAUGGCUCACCAAGGCGACGAUCCGUAACUGGUCUGAGAGGAUGAUCAGUCACACUGGAACUGAGACACGGUCCAGACUCCUACGGGAGGCAGCAGUGGGGAAUAUUGGACAAUGGGCGAAAGCCUGAUCCAGCCAUGCCGCGUGUGUGAAGAAGGUCUUCGGAUUGUAAAGCACUUUAAGUUGGGAGGAAGGGCAUUAACCUAAUACGUUGGUGUUUUGACGUUACCGACAGAAUAAGCACCGGCUAACUCUGUGCCAGCAGCCGCGGUAAUACAGAGGGUGCAAGCGUUAAUCGGAAUUACUGGGCGUAAAGCGCGCGUAGGUGGUUCGUUAAGUUGGAUGUGAAAUCCCCGGGCUCAACCUGGGAACUGCAUUCAAAACUGUCGAGCUAGAGUAUGGUAGAGGGUGGUGGAAUUUCCUGUGUAGCGGUGAAAUGCGUAGAUAUAGGAAGGAACACCAGUGGCGAAGGCGACCACCUGGACUGAUACUGACACUGAGGUGCGAAAGCGU